Acipenser ruthenus (sterlet) is the source of this 1594-nucleotide long non-coding RNA. RefSeq lists it as uncharacterized. The record is from RefSeq and is a predicted model, not a curated record. NCBI's taxonomy places the organism in Eukaryota, Metazoa, Chordata, Actinopteri, Acipenseriformes, Acipenseridae. The transcript is spliced from 3 exons.
CCUACACCACAGGAACCCUAACUCUGAUGCUGCAUCAUUUCCUGAACUCUGGGCGACCCACCUCGAUACCUCCUGCAACCCACCAGUGGGUCACGUCCGACAGUUUGGGAACCACUGGUUUAACAGAGGAAAGUGCUUCUUUCUGGCUCAGAAUAAACCAGAUGUCAGAAAGAAUAACAGCGCACAUCGGUGUUUCCAUUCCUUUAUUUUAAUACAGGCACGGCUGCAAAGCUUUCAGCCUGAAACGAUGGCCAGGUGCAUGUCAUCAGAAACCAUUGAUUGAACAGGGUGGCCAUUUUGCUGUGGAGAAGCAAGUACAGGAUCCUGAACCAAGGAAACAGAGUGUAACACUUGUUCAAGAAAGAGAACUGGAAAUACAGUUGGGAAGAAGAAAAGACUGCUACGCAGUACUAACCAAAGCUAAGUAUUCACUACAACAAGGAAAGUUAGUAAAAAUAUGAUACAACAGAAGAUUCAUUUUGAGCUUGUCUGUUGUUUACAUAUGAUCUUUCAGUGAAGAACGUUGUUGGUACAGUAGUAGUAGUGCCUUAUAAUUCAGUUAUGAUACCAAAGUAUAGUAUGUGUAGUUUAUUGUGAAUAAAAUAUUAAAGAUAUUUAAAAGUCAAAGUAAUACCGGGAUGCUGAAUGGGGUUUCGUUUAUGUCUGUGUCCAGGGUAUCCAGCUGUCUCCCUCCGGUUUGAACAUCAGCCUGGGUCAUAGGGGAAGGGCAGACCGCUGCAUCAUCUGAGACACCCUGAUAAGUGAGGUCCUACUUUGCAGGAGUUAAGUAUCAAUGGCAGGGUCGGAAGACCAAGACCCGAUUGCAGGGAGGGCUGAGAUCGGGGUGUGCGAGGGAACCGCUCUCGGAGAGCGAGCUGGGGAAGAGAGCAGAGUAAUAUGACUGGAUCUCCUUGCUGGUCCUUUCCAGGAGUUAACAUCGUUGGAGUGGAGGGAGAGAGCGGGAGCCCCUUGGAGGCGGAGCGUGGACCCAGAGGGAUUGAGCAGGCAACCAGGACUUAAGGUGUUUUUGGUAUUACAUUCAGAACAAGUGAAGGAGAGUUAACUUUGACCGCAGGAAUCAGGACACUCCAAACUGGAAAGCCAGGUGAUUAUACAGCGGUAUCAUGGAUACAUACUUUCACCUUUCAAGGAAUUGGUUUGGGAUAUUGGAGGACUUAAUAGUUUGGUUUAAUGGGAGAUGUAAUACUUACUUUGCUGCUGAAAAUCUGUGCACUUCAGUUUAGUUGUGCACUUGUUUUAUUUAGGAAUGUAUAGUCAUUUUAGGAUAUGCAUUGAUAGAUGCUGUAUAGUGGUGAUAUAUUUGAUCAUUUUUAUUGCACAUGGUUUUAUUGUUAUUUGCAUGUAUCAUUGUAAUAAAGAGAAAUACUUUUACUUACUGGUCCAUGUGGUUCCUGUGCACUGUUCGGACAGGCCGGUGGUCAGUACGAGAUCCAAACAACCUGUGGGGUAAUAGAGGAAAAAUUGUUAAAAUUUGUAAUACAAUACAUACCUGUGUUAAGUCAAGCAUACCCUGUGAUGUUAGGACAGCUGUGUUUACACUAUACAAAUGAGACGCUUAUAUACAAUGCCCUUU